UGGUUUAUGCCAGCUAUACAAUAUGAUGUGUCUUCGGUUGUGAUACAUAGGUCGAAGGGGUGUCAGUGGAAGCGCGGCGUGCCGCUGGUAUAUCAACGACGACAUUUCUGAGAUGAUAGACUUCCAUAGAAGAGGUACUACCCGCUGGAUCGAUUCCACCACUUCUCAUGAACAGACAAGAUGCUGAGCAUGCACACAUAGAUACAGUCAAAGGACCCGGCCACUCCAAAAGGCAAAUCAACUAAUCGUUUCCCGGCCUCUUUGAAGAAAUUCUAGAGCUGCUCUCAUGUUGUCUAGAUGGGUCCAAUUAAUAUGAUCCAAGUUCUGCUUGCAAAUGAUUUUGCAAUUGCAUCAUUAGCUUGCUAAUUUUGCCGUUUGCAUUAGCAUAAGAGGGGCCUGACAAAACUGAAGUGGCCAGUACUCAGCUGUAAGCCUUUAUUUCCAAAUGAUAGCAUCCAGAAAACUGGGCUGCUGGAGGAUGAAAUCCAUGCUUUGGAUGAUGAAGCUGCUGCUGAGCUGAGAAUCAUGUCAUGUCCAGGGCAAAGUUCAAGAGAAUGUUGACUGGAUCGGUGCUUCAGCGUGUGUUGGAUGGAAAAGCCGCUUCUAUCCAGCACCGCUUUCCUUAUGCGAUGUUGCUUAAAAUUCAGUGUUCUAUUUUGUCAUCCAUGGUUAACCUUACCUUUUAUCUAUGAACAAGCAUUCUCAACAGUUAGUGCUCGGUUUGUAAUGAAUAUUAUGUUGCAUCGAAAUUGCUUGAUGUGUUCAACUUUUGUAGUAAUGCCUACCUCUGAAUAUUAUGUUGCAUCAAAACUGUUUUUUGC
Triticum aestivum (bread wheat) is the source of this 821-nucleotide long non-coding RNA. RefSeq lists it as uncharacterized. The record is from RefSeq and is a predicted model, not a curated record. Lineage: Eukaryota; Viridiplantae; Streptophyta; Magnoliopsida; Poales; Poaceae. The transcript has 5 exons.